GACGAACGCUGGCGGCGUGCUUAACACAUGCAGGUCGAACGGAAAGGCCCUGCUUGCAGGGUACUCGAGUGGCGAACGGGUGAGUAACACGUGGGUGAUCUGCCCUGCACUUCGGGAUAAGCCUGGGAAACUGGGUCUAAUACCGGAUAGGAGCCAUUUUUAGUGUGAUGGUUGGAAAGUUUUUUCGGUGUAGGAUGAGCUCGCGGCCUAUCAGCUUGUUGGUGGGGUAAUGGCCUACCAAGGCGGCGACGGGUAGCCGGCCUGAGAGGGUGGACGGCCACAUUGGGACUGAGAUACGGCCCAGACUCCGACGGGGGGCAGCAGUGGGGAAUAUUGCACAAUGGGCGCAAGCCUGAUGCAGCGACGCCGCGUGGGGGAUGACGGCCUUCGGGUUGUAAACUCCUUUCGCUAGGGACGAAGCUUUUUGUGACGGUACCUAGAUAAGAAGCACCGGCUAACUACGUG
Molecule: ribosomal RNA, 465 nt
Filed under: uncultured bacterium
Lineage: Bacteria
Description: partial 16S ribosomal RNA
Rfam family: Bacterial small subunit ribosomal RNA
Source: RNAcentral